This 1113-nucleotide long non-coding RNA is filed under the name Monodelphis domestica (gray short-tailed opossum). RNAcentral's name for it is "lncRNA (ENSMODG00000046747.1)". Lineage: Eukaryota; Metazoa; Chordata; Mammalia; Didelphimorphia; Didelphidae. The record is from RNAcentral.
CACAGCUAGGGAGUAUCUAAGGUUUGAUUUAAACCCAGAACCUACCACUUCUGAACCUGGCUCUCAGUAUUUGUAUCUUUUCAAAAGAGAGACCGUGAAAUAUACUGCUGUGUACUGUGGGUGUGUUUACUUCAGAUUUUUUUAGCAGCUUUCUCCCCUUAUAGUUGGAGAUGUUCUGCUGCUCUUCAUUCCCUUUGGCACACUUUCUUCUUUCUGCUAGUAGCUAUGGAAACACAGAUGUCCCUGGUUUGGGUAGACCUCAGCAACAUCCACACCAUGGAUCCCAAAUCAAUUUGGAUAGUCGGGAAGGGACCAGUGUCUGGGCUAGGGAUAAUGUUUCAGAUGGUAAAACUGAAGCACAGAGUGGUAAUUGACUUCACUCAGAAUCAAGAAGUGAUGUGGGGCUCCCUCAAGUCUCCAUCUCCACAUGGAAGUCCUGGUGGCAUCUUCAGCCAGAGGUUCAUCAACUUAAGCCUCUUCCUUCAGCUCCAGUCACUCAACCAGCAAAUCUCUCCAGAGCAGAAAGCUCCAGUUCAGAAUGAUUCCUGGAAAAGAGAAAUCCUUUGUCUUCGGAAAGCAGAACUGAAGUUGAACCUUUCUGGAAGCAGACACUCAAUUAACUAGAGAGAAUAGGAGUGAAUUGCUAUGUUCCUAGUGGCAAUAAAGGUACCACCAUCCAGGAUUUGAAAUCUUGGCAUCAACCUUGACUCUUGUAAUGUUGUGGAAGAAAGAAAAUAGGAAAAGUUUGCAGCAGAGUUGGAGUAGCUGAGAAUGCUGAGCUGUCACUCAAGGAGAACAUUCUAAUUGGAAUGAUGAUCAGAAAAGACUGUUGAGAAAGGAGGAAACAAACUGAAAUCUGGGUCUUUUUGCCUUGGAGACAGAAAGGAAGAAGGGUCUCUUGGGUUGGGGACAGAAAGAAAGGACAAAAGUCCAGCUCUGUCUUAUUUCUUUGCUGUACUAUAGUGACUAAAUUUCCAGACCUGUUAACCAAAUUUCCCAAUCUGACCUAUAUUUCACCAUCCUUCAACCUAGGAAUUAUUCUAGUGUUAGGGAAACCCCAAACCCUUUCCUUCCAUUUCCUUAUCUUUCCCUUAUUCCCCAAUAAACCCCUUA